CAUGUUUUUAAGUCCUGGUUAGUUAGUUAUCAUUUGUGGGAGUGUCUGGAUUUUCCUAGAGAGAGUUUUGUUAUUUUUGUUUUGCCUUGCCUCUACUGAUUGAAGAUGGCGACUGCUAAAAACCAAGAUGGACGUUGAAAAAUGCCAAACUCAAGGCUUCAAAACGGAAGUCCAGAAACCAGUGGGUGAGACCACGUCUAUCUUCAAAAGGUUAAGGCCAAGAACAAACAAGAAAGACAAAGGGCAUCAUCAAAAUCUCAACCGGUGACUUCAGAACCAAAACAAUGUUUCCGUCUUUAUUUGGCUGUUAGACAGGCAGGAGCCACAGCACAGCCGUGGAAAUAU
Notothenia coriiceps (black rockcod) is the source of this 345-nucleotide long non-coding RNA. RefSeq lists it as uncharacterized. Lineage: Eukaryota; Metazoa; Chordata; Actinopteri; Perciformes; Nototheniidae. The transcript has 3 exons. The record is from RefSeq and is a predicted model, not a curated record.